GCCUCAGGCAUCAACGUGUUUGAUCCAAAGUUCAACAUUGUUGCUCCAGGUGCUGAUCAAUCUGUCUAUUUCCCUUACACCAAGAAACAAAAGCGUUUAACCUCCUUCCAUCCUGCCAUUGAAGAGUUACUCUAUAGUAGAGAAGACAACAAUGAGCACAUGUAAGUACAGUCUCAAUUACUUGCAGAUAACGUAGAAUCAAUUGUUUAACUAAAGAGAAAAAUUAUGGUUUUGCAACAGUGGAUAUCUUGCAGACAGAAGAAAACCAAUUAUCUUCUCAAUGGCAAGACUUGAUACAGUAAAGAACAUUACAGGACUAACCGAAUGGUAUGGGAAGAACAAAAGGUUGAGAGAUUUGGUGAAUCUUGUUGUUGUAGCUGGAUUCUUUG
RNAcentral lists this long non-coding RNA (389 nucleotides) under Carica papaya (papaya). RNAcentral describes it as "long non-coding RNA (CPAP_LNC016313)". Lineage: Eukaryota; Viridiplantae; Streptophyta; Magnoliopsida; Brassicales; Caricaceae. The record is from RNAcentral.